AGAGGGUGCAAGCGUUAAUCGGAUUUACUGGGCGUAAAGCGCGCGUAGGCGGCUAAUUAAGUCAAAUGUGAAAUCCCCGAGCUUAACUUGGGAAUUGCAUUCGAUACUGGUUAGCUAGAGUGUGGGAGAGGAUGGUAGAAUUCCAGGUGUAGCGGUGAAAUGCGUAGAGAUCUGGAGGAAUACCGAUGGCGAAGGCAGCCAUCUGGCCUAACACUGACGCUGAGGUGCGAAAGCAUGGGGAGCAAACAGGAUUAGAUACCCUGGUAGUCCAUGCCGUAAACGAUGUCUACUAGCCGUUGGGGCCUUUGAGGCUUUAGUGGCGCAGCUAACGCGAUAAGUAGACCGCCUGGGGAGUACGGUCGCAAGACUAAA
RNAcentral lists this ribosomal RNA (372 nucleotides) under uncultured bacterium. RNAcentral's name for it is "bacterial SSU rRNA". It matches the Rfam family "Bacterial small subunit ribosomal RNA", at positions 527 to 898 of the family's 1533-position model. The record is from RNAcentral.